UCGAUUUAGAGGUUGUGGUCUUGAACCGUGGCUUCUGGAGCUAACGCGUUAAAUCGACCGCCUGGGGAGUACGGCCGCAAGGUUAAAACUCAAAUGAAUUGACGGGGGCCCGCACAAGCGGUGGAGCAUGUGGUUUAAUUCGAUGCAACGCGAAGAACCUUACCUACUCUUGACAUCCAGAGAAUUCGCUAGAGAUAGCUUAGUGCCUUCGGGAACUCUGAGACAGGUGCUGCAUGGCUGUCGUCAGCUCGUGUUGUGAAAUGUUGGGUUAAGUCCCGCAACGAGCGCAACCCUUAUCCUUUGUUGCCAGCACGUAAUGGUGGGAACUCAAAGGAGACUGCCGGUGAUAAACCGGAGGAAGGUGGGGAUGACGUCAAGUCAUCAUGGCCCUUACGAGUAGGGCUACACACGUGCUACAAUGGCAGAUACAAAGAGAAGCGACCUCGCGAGAGCAAGCGGAACUCAUAAAGUCUGUCGUAGUCCGGAUUGGAGUCUGCAACUCGACUCCAUGAAGUCGGAAUCGCUAGUAAUCGUAGAUCAGAAUGCUACGGUGAAUACGUUCCCGGGCCUUGUACACACCGCCCGUCACACCAUGGGAGUGGGUUGCAAAAGAAGUAGGUAGCUUAACCUUCGGGAGGGCGCUUACCACUUUGUGAUUCAUGACUGGGGUGAAGUCGUAACAAGGUAACCGUAGGGGAACCUGCGGUUGGAUCACCUCCUUA
This 722-nucleotide ribosomal RNA is filed under the name Staphylococcus aureus. Its description in RNAcentral is "bacterial SSU rRNA". It matches the Rfam family "Bacterial small subunit ribosomal RNA", at positions 812 to 1533 of the family's 1533-position model. The record is from RNAcentral. Lineage: Bacteria; Bacillati; Bacillota; Bacilli; Caryophanales; Staphylococcaceae.